CAUGAUUUACAUUUGAGUGAGUGGCGAACUGGUGAGUAACACGUGGGAAACCUGCCCAGAAGCGGGGGAUAACACCUGGAAACAGAUGCUAAUACCGCAUAACAACUUGGACCGCAUGGUCCGAGUUUGAAAGAUGGCUUCGGCUAUCACUUUUGGAUGGUCCCGCGGCGUAUUAGCUAGAUGGUGGGGUAACGGCUCACCAUGGCAAUGAUACGUAGCCGACCUGAGAGGGUAAUCGGCCACAUUGGGACUGAGACACGGCCCAAACUCCUACGGGAGGCAGCAGUAGGGAAUCUUCCACAAUGGACGAAAGUCUGAUGGAGCAACGCCGCGUGAGUGAAGAAGGGUUUCGGCUCGUAAAACUCUGUUGUUAAAGAAGAACAUAUCUGAGAGUAACUGUUCAGGUAUUGACGGUAUUUAACCAGAAAGCCACGGCUAACUACGUGCCAGCAGCCGCGGUAAUACGUAGGUGGCAAGCGUUGUCCGGAUUUAUUGGGCGUAAAGCGAGCGCAGGCGGUUUUUUAAGUCUGAUGUGAAAGCCUUCGGCUCAACCGAAGAAGUGCAUCGGAAACUGGGAAACUUGAGUGCAGAAGAGGACAGUGGAACUCCAUGUGUAGCGGUGAAAUGCGUAGAUAUAUGGAAGAACACCAGUGGCGAAGGCGGCUGUCUGGUCUGUAACUGACGCUGAGGCUCGAAAGUAUGGGUAGCAAACAGGAUUAGAUACCCUGGUAGUCCAUACCGUAAACGAUGAAUGCUAAGUGUUGGAGGGUUUCCGCCCUUCAGUGCUGCAGCUAACGCAUUAAGCAUUCCGCCUGGGGAGUACGGCCGCAAGGCUGAAACUCAAAGGAAUUGACGGGGGCCCGCACAAGCGGUGGAGCAUGUGGUUUAAUUCGAAGCUACGCGAAGAACCUUACCAGGUCUUGACAUACUAUGCAAAUCUAAGAGAUUAGACGUUCCCUUCGGGGACAUGGAUACAGGUGGUGCAUGGUUGUCGUCAGCUCGUGUCGUGAGAUGUUGGGUUAAGUCCCGCAACGAGCGCAACCCUUAUUAUCAGUUGCCAGCAUUAAGUUGGGCACUCUGGUGAGACUGCCGGUGACAAACCGGAGGAAGGUGGGGAUGACGUCAAAUCAUCAUGCCCCUUAUGACCUGGGCUACACACGUGCUACAAUGGAUGGUACAACGAGUUGCGAACUCGCGAGAGUAAGCUAAUCUCUUAAAGCCAUUCUCAGUUCGGAUUGUAGGCUGCAACUCGCCUACAUGAAGUCGGAAUCGCUAGUAAUCGCGGAUCAGCAUGCCGCGGUGAAUACGUUCCCGGGCCUUGUACACACCGCCCGUCACACCAUGAGAGUUUGUAACACCCAAA
Molecule: ribosomal RNA, 1363 nt
Filed under: Lactiplantibacillus pentosus
Lineage: Bacteria; Bacillati; Bacillota; Bacilli; Lactobacillales; Lactobacillaceae
Description: bacterial SSU rRNA
Rfam family: Bacterial small subunit ribosomal RNA
Source: RNAcentral